Molecule: long non-coding RNA, 1853 nt
Organism: Apis cerana (Asiatic honeybee)
Lineage: Eukaryota; Metazoa; Arthropoda; Insecta; Hymenoptera; Apidae
Source: RefSeq, a predicted model, not a curated record
CCGCCGCCCCCACCACCGCCCCGAGCCCUCUCCAACGCGGCCGCCGCUCGCCAGGGGUGGGAUCAAGUUCAAUGUGUACUCAUGAAUCUGAAUCAAUUCGAUAAGUAUAGUGGCCGAAAAAAAGUAUUCGUACACCGUGAAGCGUUCGACUUCCGUUGCUAUUCAGCUUACGUAUAUAUGUGAUGGUAAAUUAAUCGCUUCUUGCCUCGGAACGUGGGAACUUGAUGCAGCCUAUGCGGGACGACGCGUUUAACUAUGAAAAUACUAAUUCCGAAAGUUUCUCUCUCCUGCUGGACUACGACUACCAACCGAACAGGCCAGACCAGGCCAGGCCAAACCAAGCCAAGCCAGGCCAGGCCAGGCCGUCUAUCCACCGUGAAUCGCGCGCUCUACUUCGCGGAAUCGAGCGCGGCGUGCAGGAAUGCUGCAGGUGUUGCACCGGUUCCACUCUCCCGGAAAAAUCACGAUUCUUGGGAUUUUUGAAUCCGCGGACACGAACGGACGAUUCUCUCCUUUUCCUUCUCCUUGUGAUUUUUGGAAGGAUUUUUUGGAAGGAUUCGUUUAAUUGGAACUGGAGAACGAAAAAUUUUGCUCUUCGAACUGGACUUGAUUGGAACUUUCUUCCGCGCGAGGAAAAUAUGAUAAAACGAAGAGGGUGAGAUUUACGAUCCACAGGUUGGGAACCGUUAGAUACGAGUGAAUAAACCGUGCAAAUAAUUAUUCAUCUCUGUGCAAACGAGAGAUAUACGAUGGAAAUGAAGUAGGAAUGAAAGGAUAUCAUUAUAAAAAGAUAUACUUUCCGUAUAUAAAUAUGAUGUGUAUGAGGAAUAAAAAGAGAUUGAUACGUUCACGGUGGAUAAAGCGUGCCGAAUAAAAAAGAUUUGUAAUUAAAAACGAUAUCUCUUUCUCAAGAGCACGCGUGCUAUUGUACAAAAAGUAAAUCGUAUAAUUACAAAAGCUAUAAUACUUGCUAAUACGAUUACAUAUAACAAUCUCACAAUCUGCUUCGAAUCUACACUUAUAAAUUUCUUAGUUGCGAUAUUAAUAAAGAGAAAAAAACCGAAGAAAAUUCAAAACAAUCGAAUAAUCAAUUAUUAUCGAUCGAAUAACCGAUUGGCACACGAUCGAGAGGCACGAGAAGAAGAGGAGGAGGAGGAGGAAGAGGAGGAGAAGGUGGUGGAGGAGGCGUGAGUCAGAUUGGUUCGCGUGACGAAGAUUUUCCAACGCGGUGGCGUGAGUGAAACAUCAACAAUUAUUGCUGCACCUCCGCCUCCGCACGCCGCGCCGACGAGCCUCGAGAAGGAACGAAAGUUUUCAACCGUGUGGCCGCACAGCCCACAUCGCGAAUUCCACUCCGGCCUCGUGAUUUACACAGCCGCGUUUGUCAAUAGCAUUUUCCAUUAGCAAUUCAUGCGGCAUCGGACGCGUUUAUCGGCUUCAUAAACUAUGACGGAAAACACAUAUAUCAUCCCAUCGUUGAUUUCGUAAUGGCCGGCCGAGCGUCGCCGGCAUUACGAACGUCUGCCGCUUUAAACGUUUUGUAAGUAUCGAGGGGGCCCCCUGCAUCCCGAUAGUUUCGAUGCAACUCGCUUGAUAACGCGAGACGAUCACGUGACACGUGAAAAUAUCAAAUGCUCGCAGCGAAUAUACUUGACACGUUUACGAGUCUCAGAUCGUCGAGUAAAGAUCAGCCGUGUAAUAUUUUCUUUUUUUUUUUUUUCUUUUUUUUUUUUACGUAUCCUGGGAUUAAUAAAUAAUAUCACUACAAGGUACUGUAAGUAGACAAGUUACGAGUUGUUGGUAGACAGUUGCGUAAGAGCGUGAGGUUUGGUAAUAAAAGGAAUUAAGUUUCA